GAAUCCCGUCUUUGAUACGGACUACCAGGGCUUUGUGAUGCGCUCUCGAAGAGUCGAGUUGUUUGGGAAUGCAGCUCAAAAUGGGUGGUAAAUUCCAUCUAAAGCUAAAUAUUGGCGAGAGACCGAUAGCGAACAAGUACCGUGAGGGAAAGAUGAAAAGCACUUUGGAAAGAGAGUGAAACAGUACGUGAAAUUGUUGAAAGGGAAACGCUUGAAGUCAGUCGCGUCGACCGAGACUCAGCCUCGCCUUGGCUUGGUGUACUUCUCGGCACGACGGGUCAGCAUCAAUUUUGCCCCUCGGAUAAUGGCAGGGGAAAGGUGGCACCUUUACGGGUGUGUUAUAGUCUUCUGUCGCAUGCGAGGGGUGGGAUUGAGGAACUCAGCGCGCACCUCAGUGUCGGGGCUUCGGCCCACGUCACGCGCUUAGGAUGCUGGCGUAAUGGCUUUAAACGACCCGUCUUGAAACACGGACCAAGGAGUCCAACACGCCCGCGAGUGUUCGGGUGGAAAACCCGUGCGCGUAAUGAAAGUGAAAGUUGGGACCUCUGUCGUGGAGGGCACCGACGCCCGGACCAGACCUUCUGUGACGGAUCUGCGGUAGAGCGUGUGUGUUGGGACCCGAAAGAUGGUGAACUAUGCCUGAAUAGGGUGAAGCCAGAGGAAACUCUGGUGGAGGCUCGUAGCGAUUCUGACGUGCAAAUCGAUCGUCAAAUUUGGGUAUAGGGGCGAAAGACUAAUCGAACCAUCUAGUAGCUGGUUCCUGCC
This 765-nucleotide ribosomal RNA is filed under the name uncultured Lactarius. Its description in RNAcentral is "partial 28S ribosomal RNA". It matches the Rfam family "Eukaryotic large subunit ribosomal RNA", at positions 216 to 962 of the family's 3401-position model. Lineage: Eukaryota; Fungi; Basidiomycota; Agaricomycetes; Russulales; Russulaceae. The record is from RNAcentral.